RNAcentral lists this transfer RNA (73 nucleotides) under Spumella sp. NIES-1846. Its description in RNAcentral is "tRNA-Ile". It matches the Rfam family "tRNA". From Rfam's summary of the family: Transfer RNA (tRNA) molecules are approximately 80 nucleotides in length. Their secondary structure includes four short double-helical elements and three loops (D, anti-codon, and T loops). The record is from RNAcentral. Lineage: Eukaryota; Chrysophyceae; Chromulinales; Chromulinaceae.
GAGUUAUUAGCUCAUUUGGUAGAGCAUGCACCUGAUAAGUGUAAGGUACCAAGUUCAAAUCUUGGAUAACUCA